CCACGCCGCCCCUGUGGGCGUUUCCUCCCUAGACUUCGGGCCGUUCCGCAAGGGCGGCCUUUUUUGUUGCUGCGC
This 75-nucleotide small RNA is filed under the name Methylobacterium sp. 4-46. RNAcentral's name for it is "Makes More Granules Regulator RNA (mmgR)". It matches the Rfam family "Makes More Granules Regulator RNA (mmgR)". Rfam says of the family: SuhB later renamed mmgR (makes more granules regulator) was a putative non-coding RNA found multiple times in the Agrobacterium tumefaciens genome and related alpha-proteobacteria. Other non-coding RNAs uncovered in the same analysis include: speF, ybhL, metA, and serC. Several studies inSinorhizobium meliloti showed that suhB element is indeed a non-coding RNA:firstly it was detected on Northern blot and called Sm8RNA, secondly in an RNAseq study referred to as SmelC689. The record is from Rfam by way of RNAcentral. Lineage: Bacteria; Pseudomonadati; Pseudomonadota; Alphaproteobacteria; Hyphomicrobiales; Methylobacteriaceae.